Molecule: ribosomal RNA, 204 nt
Filed under: uncultured bacterium
Lineage: Bacteria
Description: partial 16S ribosomal RNA
Rfam family: Bacterial small subunit ribosomal RNA
Source: RNAcentral
CCUUUAACUGGGGAAUAGCCCCUCGAAAGAGGGAUUAAUGCCCCGUAACAUAAUGAAGUGGCAUCACUUUAUUAUUAUAGCUCCGGCGGUUAAAGAUGGGCGUGCAACUGAUUAGAUAGUUGCGGGGUAACGGCCCACCAAGUCAGCGAUCAGUAACUGGUGUGAGAGCACGACCAGUCACACGGGCACUGAGACACGGGCCCG